RNAcentral lists this ribosomal RNA (463 nucleotides) under uncultured beta proteobacterium. RNAcentral's name for it is "bacterial SSU rRNA". It matches the Rfam family "Bacterial small subunit ribosomal RNA", at positions 200 to 642 of the family's 1533-position model. Lineage: Bacteria; Pseudomonadati; Pseudomonadota; Betaproteobacteria. The record is from RNAcentral.
AGGAAAGUAGGGGAUCGUAAGACCUUGCGCUUUUGGAGCGGCCGAUGUCUGAUUAGCUAGUUGGUGAGGUAAAGGCUUACCAAGGCUUCGAUCAGUAGCUGGUCUGAGAGGACGACCAGCCACACUGGGACUGAGACACGGCCCAGACUCCUACGGGAGGCAGCAGUGGGGAAUUUUGGACAAUGGGGGCAACCCUGAUCCAGCCAUGCCGCGUGAGUGAAGAAGGCCUUCGGGUUGUAAAGCUCUUUCAGCCGGAACGAAAAGGUUACGGUUAAUACCCGUGACUAAUGACGGUACCGGAAGAAGAAGCACCGGCUAACUACGUGCCAGCAGCCGCGGUAAUACGUAGGGUGCGAGCGUUAAUCGGAAUUACUGGGCGUAAAGCGUGCGCAGGCGGUUUUGUAAGUCAAGAUGUGAAAUNCCCCGGGCUUAACCUGGGAACUGCGUUUGAAACUACAAAGCU